RNAcentral lists this ribosomal RNA (250 nucleotides) under uncultured prokaryote. Its description in RNAcentral is "partial 16S ribosomal RNA". It matches the Rfam family "Bacterial small subunit ribosomal RNA", at positions 524 to 773 of the family's 1533-position model. The record is from RNAcentral.
UACGUAGGGAGCGAGCGUUGUCUGGAUUUAUUGGGUGUAAAGGGUGCGUAGGCGGCCAUGCAAGUCAGGCGUGUAAUCCGGGGGCUUAACCCCCGAACUGCGUUUGAAACUGUUUGGCUUGAGUGAAGUAGAGGCAGAUGGAAUUUCCAGUGUAGCGGUGAAAUGCGUAGAUAUUGGAAGGAACACCAGUGGCGAAGGCGAUCUGCUGGGCUCUAACUGACGCUGAGGCACGAAAGCAUGGGGAGCAAAC